AAAGAACAGAAGGCAGUAAUCAGAGAAUUGUGAUCCCAGCUUAAACAAACCCAUUCAGAAAUCAGAGUGGUUAAUUCUAGUUUACAUAAACUGUCAUAUCAGAAUCAACACUUCAAAUAAUGCUAAGGAAGGACAUGCUAUAUACAGAAAUAGUUUGGGAAAAAACAGAGGCAAUUUAAGAUGAAAUACUCCCUUUUUGUUCAACACUCCAAAGUCUAUUCUCAUGAGAUCCCUUGCUCAACUUCUACACUGCUGCAGCUAGUUGUAACUCACUUUCUACUAAGCACCACCUGUGAAUGACAAUCAAGACAAAAACUGCACCAAUAUAAUUGGUGAGUACAAUUCAGAUUCAGAACUGAGAUAAGAACACACUCUCAACAAGAAAUUUGGCUUUAGAGGUAGCCACACAAAGCUCAC
RNAcentral lists this long non-coding RNA (417 nucleotides) under Vigna radiata. RNAcentral's name for it is "long non-coding RNA (VRAD_LNC009761)". Lineage: Eukaryota; Viridiplantae; Streptophyta; Magnoliopsida; Fabales; Fabaceae. The record is from RNAcentral.